CGUAUAAACAAUUGUAACCAUAGCAACAUGCAGUUAUACUCACGGCUUCAUUAUUAGUAGAGAUGCGGCACAGACGCAGAGUGGGUGGAAUUCUAGAUCUAACGACCCAUACAUGGGCACUUCCACAGAAUUGGUGCAAACUGCUGUCCCACAACCAAAAACACAUUUAAAAAGCAUGGUCACGGGGGAGCCAGGGAAUCCCAGGGAACUCAGGGCACAACCCAAUUCCAGGGAACUCAGGGCACAACCCUAUCCCAGGGAACUCAGGACACAACCCUAUGUCAGGGAACUCAGGACACAACCCUAUCCCAGGGAACUCAGGGAACAACCCUAUCCCAGGGAACUCAGGACACAACCCUAUGUCAGGGAACUCAGGACACAACCC
Ictalurus punctatus (channel catfish) is the source of this 385-nucleotide long non-coding RNA. The record is from Ensembl. NCBI's taxonomy places the organism in Eukaryota, Metazoa, Chordata, Actinopteri, Siluriformes, Ictaluridae.